Molecule: ribosomal RNA, 479 nt
Filed under: uncultured bacterium
Lineage: Bacteria
Description: partial 16S ribosomal RNA
Rfam family: Bacterial small subunit ribosomal RNA
Source: RNAcentral
GAUGAACGCUGGCGGCGUGCUUAACACAUGCAAGUCGAACGAAGCACUUAAGAUUGGUUCUUCAGAUGACGUCUUUUGUGACUUAGUGGCGGACGGGUGAGGAACGCGUGGGUAACCUGCCUCACACAGGGGGAUAACAGUUAGAAAUGACUGCUAAUACCGCAUAACCCGAUAGGAUCGCAUGAUCCAUACGGAAAAGAUUUAUCGGUGUGAGAUGGACCCGCGUCUGAUUAGCUAGUUGGGGAGGUAACGGCCCACCAAGGCGACGAUCAGUAGCCGGUCUGAGAGGGUGAACGGCCACAUUGGGACUGAGACACGGCCCAAACUCCUACGGGAGGCAGCAGUGGGGAAUAUUGCACAAUGGGCGAAAGCCUGAUGCAGCGACGCCGCGUGAGUGAAGAAGUACUUAGGUAUGUAAAGCUCUAUUACCGGGGAAGAAAAUGACGGUACCUGAAUAAGAAGCCCCGGCUAACUACGUG